GAUGAACGCUGGCGGCGUGCCUAAUACAUGCAAGUCGAGCGAACAGACGAGGAGCUUGCUCCUUUCACGUUAGCGGCGGACGGGUGAGUAACACGUGGAUAACCUACUUAUAUGACUGGGAUAAUCACGGGAAUCCGGAGCAAAUACCGGAUAAUAUAUUGCACCGUAUGGUUCAAUAGUGAAAGACGGCUUUGCUGUCACUUAUAGCUGGAUCCGCGCCGCAUUAGCUAGUUGGUACGGUAACGGCUUACCAAGGCAACGAUGCGUAGCAGACCUGAGAGGGUGAUAGACCACACGAGAACGGGAACGCGGUCCAUGCGCCUGCGGUAGGCAGCAGUAGGGUAUGUGCGGCAAUAGGCGAGAACCUUGCAGAACAGCGCGACGUGAGUGGUGGAAGUCUUGGGAUCGUAAAACUCUGUUAUGGGGGGAGAACAAAUGUGGAAGUAGCUAUGGACGUCGUGACGGUACCUAAUCAGGAAGCCACGGCUAACUACGUG
Molecule: ribosomal RNA, 497 nt
Filed under: uncultured bacterium
Lineage: Bacteria
Description: partial 16S ribosomal RNA
Rfam family: Bacterial small subunit ribosomal RNA
Source: RNAcentral